CCUACGGGAGGCAGCAGUGAGGAAUAUUGGUCAAUGGACGCAAGUCUGAACCAGCCAUGCCGCGUGCAGGAUGACGGCUCUAUGAGUUGUAAACUUCUUUUGUCAGGGAGCAAUUGGGUCCACGUGUGGGCUUAGCGAGAGUACCUGAAGAAAAAGCAUCGGCUAACUCCGUGCCAGCAGCCGCGGUAAUACGGAGGAUGCGAGCGUUAUCCGGAUUUAUUGGGUUUAAAGGGUGCGUAGGCGGAAUAUCAAGUCAGCGGUAAAAAUUCGGGGCUCAACCCCGCCGUGCCGUUGAAACUGAUGUU
RNAcentral lists this ribosomal RNA (305 nucleotides) under uncultured bacterium. Its description in RNAcentral is "bacterial SSU rRNA". It matches the Rfam family "Bacterial small subunit ribosomal RNA", at positions 338 to 640 of the family's 1533-position model. The record is from RNAcentral.